UACAGAGGGUGCGAGCGUUGUUCGGAAUUAUUGGGCGUAAAGGGCGCGUAGGCGGUGCGGUAAGUCACCUGUGAAAUCUCCUGGCUCAACUGGGAGCUUGCAGGCGAAACUGCCGUGCUGGAGUGUGGGAGAGGUGCGUGGAAUUCCUGGUGUAGCGGUGAAAUGCGUAGAUAUCGGGAGGAACACCAGUGGCGAAGGCGGCUUCCUGGACCGGUUCUGACACUGAGGAGCGAAAGCGUGGGGAGCGAUCCGG
Molecule: ribosomal RNA, 253 nt
Filed under: uncultured bacterium
Lineage: Bacteria
Description: partial 16S ribosomal RNA
Rfam family: Bacterial small subunit ribosomal RNA
Source: RNAcentral